Molecule: small RNA, 161 nt
Filed under: uncultured Lachnoclostridium sp.
Lineage: Bacteria; Bacillati; Bacillota; Clostridia; Lachnospirales; Lachnospiraceae
Description: M-box riboswitch (ykoK leader)
Rfam family: M-box riboswitch aptamer (ykoK leader)
About the family: M-box riboswitch, also know as ykoK leader is described as a metaloregulatory RNA that sense divalent metals and function as a genetic control element of genes related to divalent metal transport in bacteria. It was first reported upstream of the B.subtilis ykoK gene and genes with related functions in other bacteria.
Source: RNAcentral
UAUGUCCGGUAGGUAAGGUUACCACAGGGAUAUGGAUUGCUGCCGCAGAAUAGUGGAGACACUAUGAGUUGGUUAGCAGGCUAUGUCGACAAUAAGGCAUAAUCUAAUGCAAUUACAAGAUGAUUAUCAUCGUGCCCUGCGAAACUAAAGCUUGAACGGUG